This is an RNA transcript of Rhea pennata, 1414 nucleotides long. It is a transcript of the gene named modulator of smoothened, with no coding region annotated. The record is from RefSeq and is a predicted model, not a curated record. NCBI's taxonomy places the organism in Eukaryota, Metazoa, Chordata, Aves, Rheiformes, Rheidae. The transcript has 2 exons.
GGCGAGUGGGUUUCCCUUCCGGAGUUCACCGCCGCCCCCCCGCCCGCCGGGUUCGCUUCCGGCUCCGUCCGGGGGGGCCGCUGCUGGCGCCGCCGCCGAGGGGAGCGCGGGCAGCCCGGGGCCCAUGGAGCCGCGGCUGUGAGGCGCCCCCGGCCCGGGCCCGCUGCGGGAGCCGGAGCCGGGAGCCGCGGGAGCCGGAGGAGAUGGAUAAACUGACCAUCAUCUCAGGAUGCCUCUUCCUGGCCGCCGACAUCUUCGCCAUCGCCAGCCUGGCGAACCCGGACUGGAUCAACACCGGCGAGUCCGCAGGUAUGCAAGAGGAGUUAAAAACAUGGCCCUGAGACCCAGUUGUUGCCAACCCAUGGACAGGCCAAUGUGAGACAGGACUUCCUAUGUGGAAGGAGAAGCAGUAAAAUGCGAAGAUCUGGAGUUUUGGCAUUGCUGCUGGGAGCUGCGCUGCUGCUGCAGGAGAUGCUGCUGCUGCCAUGACCGAAACAGCCUGCCCACCUCCUGUCGCUGGCACAUCAGCACUGCGGUCGCGAGGCGAUGAGCAGAGCGCUUCGGAGAAGGCUGCGAUAGCUCUCCAUUGACCUCUCUCCACUCAGUCCUAUCAUUUUACAGCUCUGUCUGAAGCCAAAUAUAACUCUGUUAAAAAACACAAGCUCAUCAGAUGUUAAAUGGCAGAACAGCUGUAGGUGUCAUAGCUUCUGGCUUUCUACAGAACAUACGGUAGAAAACUGAUGUAGCUGACUAGAAAAAUCACUUAAAUAUUGAUACUGCCUCUUUUUUUUUUUUUUUCCUUUUAAGAAUUCUGUCAACUUUGAAUAGCUCUUUUUUGGUUGGGGGAAAAUGGUAAAUAAUUACAGGGUUUUUUUUUGUUUGUGUUUAAGCUAAAUAAAACCUUAAGUUUGUUUAAAUUAAAUCUUUUUUUCCAGGCCAUUGCCACUUGAGUUACUGCAAGGAUUCUAAUCCUCACUGACAACGCUAUCCUAUUGUGCAAAUGUUUACGGUGUCAAAAAUAAACCGCCAGAAGGAUGGAACUUAUUAGAGAUCCUGUUUACUGACAUUUAAUUAAUGCUGUCUUCUGAAGUAGGGAAGAACACCUUCAGCGUGGGCAGAUUUCUUGGCUCCACUAUGCGAGAACACACAGAGCCUUUGUUACGUCCUCAGGAGAGCUGUUCCUGCGUUGUUGCCGGAGGAUAACUCUUUCAACGUGUGGGGUGGUCCAUCUCUAUUUCUUUCUUAUUUUCAGUAUCAUGCUUUAAAAAAACUUACAUGUUGGAAUCCAGAAAUAAACUUGUGUCUUACUGGCCCAAAUGUCUGUAAUUUAAGUAGGUCACAACUCAUAUCAUAAUGAUUGUUGUCUAUAGUAAUAAACUUUUCUAAUAUAUGUGAGCCAUAAGGCUCUUUCCCA